UAGCUUGCGAGGCAAGGAACCACAGGAGCUAGGAACCAACAGAUCCCAGGCCUCCGGCCUGGGCUCCACCGAAUGAAGUGCAAAACCAGUGGCGAGGUGGUUCUAUUUUGUGCUUCGUCGGCGACUUUGCUGCUGAACGGAUCGAACUUGCACUGGACAGAAGGAAGGACCAGCUGCGCUGCUUGCCGAGCGACCUCACGAGCGCCGCCUGCUCGCGCUCCGAGGCUUCGGUCUCCCCCAGCCGGCCGCCCGGCCCGCCGUCGCUGACAGGACGCGGCAAGAAGUGCGCGUUCUUAUGGUGCCGGCGAGUCCGCGUGCCGUCGCGGGCUCUCCGCGCUGGUUCAUGGCGAGGUACAUGCCCGUGUGCGCCCCGCGGAUGCUCACCAGCCCCACGGCCACGCUGAUGAACUCGAGGAUCCCUGCAGCAGAGACGGGGCCACAUCUGUGAGCAACGGUCACUUCAGCGAGUGCACAGUGGUCGGUGGAAACAGCAAUUGGCUGGCAGUAGGUUUGUUAUCAUGAGCAGGGCACAGCAGUUCACAGUCCCAAGGUGGCACUGGUGUACCCGUGACGCACGUGCACACACAUCCCUUUUGUCAAUCCUCUGCUGGACGAGGGCCUCUUCACGCCGUGCGGGUCGUUGUGCAGGUUACUCGACGGUACUUCACUACGCUCGUCAGUGCGUGUUGGUGACGGACAAAUGAGCGUCGACAUGGGGCCAUAGUAUAAUGCAACAAUUGAUUUUACUGCACUGGUCUCUGCUGACCACAAUGCAGCAUCAGCCUAUGACACCUGAUUUUUUUUGCCGCCUCGCACCUCUUCCAAGACAUCUGUGAAGAGGUGGGAGUACCCGCACAAGACGUCUGGCAAGCAUGGAAGAGUAGGCCAAAUACCCUCUAUAUAGCUCCCUCUGGUGCAGUCCUUCAGCCCGUAGUGGCGUGAGCGAACAAUUGGCAGGACUGCACUUUUACCUUCUGCCUUUUAACGUAAUUAUGAAUUCUGAUGUUUCCAAACGAAUUCAUGACAUCGUGAUGAGAAAAGCUUAUUUGGAAAUUGUAGUUCCCAGUAUAAAUAUACACACAAAAUCAGUUAUCGUGAUGAGGUGACGAUUGUCAUGUAUUCGUUGACCGGAAUUCCAAAAAUAUGACAUGGAACAACACGUUCAGUCGCGUGCACGAUCACUCCAGACCCAGACGACGUCGAGCACAUGGUUUCACCUAUAUCACAGUUAUUGGGAAACAUUUUUUUUUUUUUACCCGCAGCACUUAAAUUCAAAGUCUGCAGAGUCUCCUGGCAUGGGCACUAGCCCCCGCGAGGGACACCCAACCCCAGGGCACGAGCUGAGGAACUCAAAGAAUUUGGCUCGGUGUCACAUCAUGGCCAUUACAAACGCCCCCGAGCGAUGUAAAAACCCAACCCGGGGCUUGAACCCCCUCCCUCCCUGAUCCAAAGAGGUUCAAUGUGAGGUUCACAGUUAUCUUGAUAUGGUCGUUGUGAUCCCACAGAUCAUCAUCAUAUACUCCUUCACCCAGCACUGUCAUCUUUGCAACGUUUUAUACAGUGGCGGUAGCAGCAGCAGCAACGAGAGGUCCUAGACGAAGCAUGCGGCAAUACACCCCCCCUCCCCCGCCCACUACGGCCUAAACCCUCGCAGCGGUUCAAUAAAUUUAAGAAUCUAUUCUUUUUAACUCUUUCCAACUUGGGUUGACAGCGUCAAUGCAUCAGCUUUGUCCAUCUGUCUGAAACGGAGAAGGGGGCACGAUAACUCUCGUAAAGAUGAUCCGGUAUGAACGAAACGCCAGUUUAAGGUUGCGUUGCCAUUAACGAGUUGCCAUGUAAAAAAAAAACCCAGUCAAAUUGAUCAAAGCGUUGCCCCAAGUUUGUAGACCCAUACGCCGCGCACUAAAACGACCCACUUCGACAUCCUGGCCCUUGUCCGUCUCGUCGCGGCCUACAGAUGUUACCGCUUCCUGUGUGCCCUGCAUGGGCCCUGCCGUUAUUAUCGCUGAUUAAAGACAAACACUGUCAGGCAUCGGAAGCUUUAAGUGAACGGAGAAAAAAGCAGGCUUCCAAAAUUACCUGCGAGCUUUAUCCAAGAUUUUCUGAGUGUUUCUUAACCACGUCUGGCACAGUCUAAUAAAACUUGAAGGGGAAAAAAAUCCAGCAGGCAUGGACUCAAAAAAAUAUAUAACAACGCAACAAAGUGUUUAAAACGAAAAAAAAAUUCUCCUGUAAAACACCUGUAAUGCAUGAGGGUUUUAUCAGUCA
Long non-coding RNA from Lethenteron reissneri (Far Eastern brook lamprey), 2268 nucleotides. RefSeq lists it as uncharacterized. Lineage: Eukaryota; Metazoa; Chordata; Hyperoartia; Petromyzontiformes; Petromyzontidae. The record is from RefSeq and is a predicted model, not a curated record.